UCCUUCAUGGCUAAGAGGUUAAAGCAUCUGCCUGCAAUGUGGGAGACCCAGGUUUGAUCCCUGGGUUGGGAA
This 72-nucleotide transfer RNA is filed under the name Ovis aries (sheep). It matches the Rfam family "tRNA". From Rfam's summary of the family: Transfer RNA (tRNA) molecules are approximately 80 nucleotides in length. Their secondary structure includes four short double-helical elements and three loops (D, anti-codon, and T loops). Lineage: Eukaryota; Metazoa; Chordata; Mammalia; Artiodactyla; Bovidae. The record is from Rfam by way of RNAcentral.